CGCGUAGGCGGGUUUGUUAGUCAGAGGUGAAAUCCUGCGGCUUAACCGUAGAACUGCCUUUGAUACUGCAGAUCUUGAGUGCGGAAGAGAGAGACGGAAUUCCAGGUGUAGUGGUGAAAUACGUAGAUAUCUGGAAGAACACCAGUGGCGAAGGCGGUCUCUUGGUCCGUUACUGACGCUGAGGCGCGAAAGCGUGGGGAGCAAACA
This 207-nucleotide ribosomal RNA is filed under the name uncultured bacterium. RNAcentral describes it as "partial 16S ribosomal RNA". It matches the Rfam family "Bacterial small subunit ribosomal RNA", at positions 568 to 774 of the family's 1533-position model. The record is from RNAcentral.